GAUCAUGGCUCAGGAUGAACGCUGGCGGCAUGCCUAAUACAUGCAAGUCGAACGAGAGGAAGGAAAGCUUGCUUUUCUGAAUCUAGUGGCGAACGGGUGAAUAACACGUAGGUAACCUGCCCAUGUGCCCGGGAUAACUUCUGGAAACGGAUGCUAAAACCGGAUAGGUAGCAGACAAGCAUUUGACUGCUAUUAAAGUGGCCUUGGCCAUGAACAUGGAUGGACCUGCGGUG
RNAcentral lists this ribosomal RNA (233 nucleotides) under uncultured bacterium. RNAcentral's name for it is "partial 16S ribosomal RNA". It matches the Rfam family "Bacterial small subunit ribosomal RNA", at positions 15 to 238 of the family's 1533-position model. The record is from RNAcentral.